This 532-nucleotide ribosomal RNA is filed under the name uncultured bacterium. Its description in RNAcentral is "bacterial SSU rRNA". It matches the Rfam family "Bacterial small subunit ribosomal RNA", at positions 777 to 1304 of the family's 1533-position model. The record is from RNAcentral.
AAUAGAUACCCGGGUAGUCCACGCCGUAAACGAUGAGUGCUAAGUGUUAGAGGGGUUUCCGCCCUCUAGUGCUGCAGCUAACGCAUUAAGCACUCCGCCUGGGGAGUACGGUCGCAAGACUGAAACUCAAAGGAAUUGACGGGGGGCCCGCACAAGCGGUGGAGCAUGUGGUUUAAUUUGAAGCAACGCGAAGAACCUACCAGGUCUUGACAUCCUCUGACAACUCUAGAGAUAGAGCGUUCCCCUUCGGGGGACAGAGUGACAGGUGGUGCAUGGUUGUCGUCAGCUCGUGUCGUGAGAUGUUGGGUUAAGUCCCGCAACGAGCGCAACCCUUGAUCUUAGUUGCCAGCAUUUAGUUGGGCACUCUAAGGUGACUGCCGGUGACAAACCGGAGGAAGGUGGGGAUGACGUCAAAUCAUCAUGCCCCUUAUGACCUGGGCUACACACGUGCUACAAUGGAUGGUACAAAGGGCUGCAAGACCGCGAGGUCAAGCCAAUCCCAUAAAAACCCAUUCUCAGUUCGGAUUGUAGG